GAGAUUUAUUGGGCCGAGCAUACGAGGCCCACAAAUGUACUUGGAAACAAAUAUCUAAAUCACAACAGUGACACUGAGAGUAGCUUCCGAGAGAAAACAAUGGCGAAUCUCCCAAUGGAUAUCGUCAACGAUGUAUUCCUUCGUCUCCCUGCUACUACACUGGUCCGAUGCCGCCUCCUCUCCAAGCUUUGCUUCUCUCUUAUCGACAGUUCCGACUUCGUUGCCUCGCAUCUCAAACGCACGCUCGAAACCGAAGAGCACCUCAUGAUCCUGCUACGAUCGCCUCGCCUUCUACGUACGGUGUACCUCGACGCACCGGAUAAACUCUCAGACGUCGACCAUCCUCUGCAAACCGGUGGUUUCACGGAGGUUUUCGGUUCGGUUAACGGUUUGAUCGGUUUAACAAACUCUCCGGUUGAUUUAGCGAUUUUCAAUCCGUCGACUCGCAAAAUCCACCGGUUACCGAUUGAGCCUAUCGAUUUCUCGGAACGGUUGAUCGCUCGCGAGAAUGUGUUUUACGGAUUAGGUUACGAUUCGGUGAGCGAUGAUUACAAAGUUGUGAGGAUGGUUCAGUCUACGCAUAAAGGCGAUGGAGUCGUCGAAAGCUUUGGUCGCGCUUUCGAAAUCAAAGUUUUCAGCUUGAAAAGUAAUAAAUGGAAGAGAAUCCUUCUUCUCUUUGAGGUUCAGAUUCUUUUCAUAAAAUUAUAUUACCGUUUGCUUUACCGCCGCGGAAAUGGUGUUCUUGCUAGCAACAGUCUUCACUGGAUUCUACCUCGAAGUCGAGGAUAUAUAGCCUACAACACCGUAAUCAGAUUUGAUCUCGCCUCUGACGAUCUUGGAAUCCUCAGGUACCCACUGGAGCUUCUCCAUGAAGAUGAUAUGGACAUAGGUGUGUUAGAUGGCUGCCUUUGCUUGAUGUGUUACAGCGAGUCUAGCCAUGUGGGUGUUUGGAUUUUGAGGGAGUAUGAAAGGAAAUGGUCUAAGUUCAUUACUGUGCCGAAACCUGAGACUGUGGUUUCCUUUGAAUUUGUGAGACCUAUGAUCUACUCCAAGGACAGGAGCAAGAUUUUGCUGGAGAUAAACAAUGGGAAGCUGAUGUGGUUUGAUUUGGAGAGUAAGGGAUUUGAAACGCUUGGAAUAAAGGGUUGUGAGGGUCCGUGUAAUGCUGAAAUCGUCGUGAGUAGCCUUGUUUUGGGAUGUAAAGGUGAUCCUCGCAGAGCUCAAGAGAAGAAGAUGAUGCUGGAGGGUAACAAAAGGGGGGAUGGUUUUCUGUCCAAGGGAUUCAAGCUGAAGUUAUGAGCAAAGCAGAGGAACUUUCAAAGCCCAAACCUUUACCAAGGUAAUUGUAAUGAAUCUAAUGGUCGUGAGUGUUUCCCUCAAGUUGGUACUCCUCCUUCUCUAUAUGGAACUUGAGUCAACAUCAUAGGGUUCAUGGCGUAGGCGGGAGAGGAAAUGGCUUAAAGGCAACUUCAUCAAAUUCGUAUUAGGUCUUAGUACUAAUUAGCUUUAACCUCUGUAGAAGGUAUAUUUCUUAAGAGAAGACAGUGUGCUUAGGUAACUUCUUUUGAGUAUUGCAUGUUGCAAUAUAACGCUGUAGUUGGCUGCUGCAUAUAUAAAAUCUAUGAAUCUGGUAAAAUUAAAA
This is an RNA transcript of Brassica oleracea var. oleracea, 1642 nucleotides long. It is a transcript of the gene named F-box protein At4g22390-like, with no coding region annotated. The record is from RefSeq and is a predicted model, not a curated record. Lineage: Eukaryota; Viridiplantae; Streptophyta; Magnoliopsida; Brassicales; Brassicaceae. The transcript has 3 exons.